This 645-nucleotide long non-coding RNA is filed under the name Equus caballus (horse). RNAcentral describes it as "lncRNA (ENSECAG00000050737.1)". The record is from RNAcentral. Lineage: Eukaryota; Metazoa; Chordata; Mammalia; Perissodactyla; Equidae.
AAAACAUCGUAUGUUUAAUAAAAGGUCUUUAUUAUUAUAAGGGGGAAAAACUGUGUCUUCCACAAAACUUAAUCUAGGCAGUGGUCAACAGUUAUAUAUUCUCCCAAGGAUAGCUGCCUAGAUGGUGACAGAGUUGGAAGCUGGAAACCCAUUGGUGUUUGUAUGAAUCCAAGAAGACACAAGUUUGAAAUCAAAGCAGACUUAGAAUUCAAUGAUUGUAAGGGUGGGGAUUGUUGGGGUGGUGCAGGGGACAAUGAAUGAAAAAGAGCUAAGUUGGAGAGGAGGUUUUACCAAUGAAGCAGCCACUGUAAUGCAUGGUGAUCAGAGCUGUCUGGUAGGCAAGCUUAGGAGGCUGUGAGAACCCAGUGCAGGCACCCAAUCCAGGCUGGGAAGUCAGAGAUGGCCUCCUAGGGGAGGUGGAUCAUGGCCAUGGUGGUUGACCAGCCCACAUCCAUUCCAUCAGAGAUGAUUGGGUGUGUCAGAGCCAGUGACAGUGAUGCAAUCCUCUUCCUGCUAGUGGUUGGCUCAGGGAAGGGCACAUGACCCAAUCCUGGCCAAGGAGACAUGACGGAAAGGAUGGGGAUCCUUGAGCACACCACUGUAUUGCUGCCUCAACCAAGCCAGGACUCUCCUUCCUCCCUCACC